Molecule: ribosomal RNA, 842 nt
Filed under: uncultured planctomycete clone6
Lineage: Bacteria; Pseudomonadati; Planctomycetota; Planctomycetia; Planctomycetales
Description: bacterial SSU rRNA
Rfam family: Bacterial small subunit ribosomal RNA
Source: RNAcentral
GGAUUAGGCAUGCAAGUCGAGCGAGAAGGGUUCUGGUGCUUGCAUUGGAACCCCCAAAGCGGCGAAAGGGAGAGUAACGCGUAGUUACGUACCCAGGGGUUCGGAAUAGCCACGGGAAACUGUGGGUAAUGCCGAAUAACAUCUCCGGAUCAAAGGUGUGAUUCCGCCCCUGGAGCGGACUGCGUCCUACUAGCUUGUUGGCGGGGUAAUGGCCCACCAAGGCAACAAUGGGUAGCGGGUGUGAGAGCAUGACCCGUCUCACUGGGACUGAGACACUGCCCAGACACCUACGGGUGGCUGCAGUCGAGAAUCUUCGGCAAUGGGCGAAAGCCUGACCGAGCGACGCCGCGUGCGGGAUGAAGGCCCUCGGGUUGUAAACCGCUGUCGUAGGGGAGGAAGGCUCCGUGAAGAACGGGGUUUGACCUAUCCUAGGAGGAAGUACGGGCUAAGUUCGUGCCAGCAGCCGCGGUAAUACGAACCGUACAAACGUUAUUCGGAAUCACUGGGCUUAAAGGGUGCGUAGGCGGCCAUGUAAGUGAGGUGUCAAAUCCCUCGGCUCAACCGAGGAACUGCGCUUCAUACUGCAUGGCUUGAGGGAGACAGGGGUAAGCGGAACUGAUGGUGGAGCGGUGAAAUGCGUUGAUAUCAUCAGGAACACCGGUGGCGAAAGCGGCUUACUGGGUCUCUUCUGACGCUGAGGCGCGAAAGCCAGGGGAGCAAACGGGAUUAGAUACCCCGGUAGUCCUGGCCCUAAACGAUGGGUACUAGAUUGCGGGCUUACAUGGGUUCGCAGUCGAAGCUAAUGUUUUAAGUACCCCGCCUGGGGAGUAUGGUCGCAAGGC